CCUGGUUGCUUUCAUCAAGAUUGGUUAAUCUGACUGUCAUUCACGAAACUGGCCAAUGACAGCCUCGCGCGCCUUUUUGCUAGUGCAGUUUGAAAAUAUACUAAUCAGUUUGGUGAUGUGGUGCUACUGAUCCGCAAGAUUACUCGCUCGCUCAGUUCCUGAUUAUGUGCCUGUUAAAUUCUUAUUGUAAACUAAUUUGAACUGUGAGAUGUCAACGGAGAACAGAAGCUGGAAUGUGAACACAGAGGAAGGGGCAGACUGGAUGUGUGAGAUCCCGAAAACAUAUGGCGAUAUCAGGUGGCACAAAUAAAGGGAAAUAGACUUGUCACCAUCUUCAGUCCUUUAUUUCAUUCACUGGAGAACAUCACAGCCUUCAGAUGUGUCAUAUCAGGAUAAAUGCAACUGCAGGACUCGUCGGGCCCACCCAACUACAGAUUCACCCAGGAUCCAGCUGAUCACUGCCAAUUUGAAGGAGGAUUGUCCUUUAUCUGCUACAUUGCACUCUCACUUCUGAGGCUGUUAAGAAGACUGCACUGAUGUCAAAGAUCAACCAGCAAGAAUCUGAGAGGGAACUCUCAAAAUGGUUUACUGGGACAAGAGACAGAGGAGGACUGAGGGUCUAGAAUGCACAAAUGUCUGUCUGCAGUGUAAGCAGUACUGAAAAAUGUAUAGUUGCUGCUGCUGUUUCUUACUGUCUCUGUUUUUUAUGUGCAAAUGUUCAAAGCUUUCAGUAAACACUGGUUCAAAUACAAGUUCAAAAUGUUUGUUAACUUUAACAAUUACAUAAUUUUAACAAUUAGGUAUCAGAAUAUAGCAUAU
Long non-coding RNA from Labeo rohita (rohu), 819 nucleotides. RefSeq lists it as uncharacterized. NCBI's taxonomy places the organism in Eukaryota, Metazoa, Chordata, Actinopteri, Cypriniformes, Cyprinidae. The record is from RefSeq and is a predicted model, not a curated record. The transcript is spliced from 4 exons.